ACUUUCCUUCAUUUUUUCUCCCCAUUUUUCCUCCACUUUCUUCCCAAUUUUCCCAUUUUUUUCCUCAUUUCUCUCCCCAAUUUUCCCUCAUUUUUCUACAAUUUUUCCUCCACCUUUCCCCCAUUUUUCCUGAUUUUUUCCUCCACCUUUCCCCCAUUUUUCCUGAUUUUUUCUCCCCAUUUUUCUCCAAUUUCUUCCCCAUUUCUCCCCAUUUUCUCUCCAAUUUCUUCCCCAUUUUUUCCCACAUUUCUCCUCCAUUUUUCCCCAAUUUUUCUCCCCCAUUUUCUCCUCUAUUUUCUUUCACAUUUUCCCUCUGAUUUUCCUCCAUUUUCUCCCCGAUUUUCCUCAUUUUUACCCCAAUUUUCGCAGUUUCUUCUCUCUUUUUUUCCCCAAUUUUUUCCCCAAAUUUUCCCCCACUCUCCACUUUCCUCACGUUUUCUCCCCAAUUUUCUCUCAAUUUCUCCCACAUUUUCUCCUCGUUUCUCUCCCCAAUUUUCCCCAAUUUUCACACUUCCUUCUCUCUUUUUCUCCCCAAUUUUCGCCCCAUCCUCUCCCUAUUCCCUCCCCAUCUCGGCAC
This 577-nucleotide long non-coding RNA is filed under the name Zonotrichia albicollis (white-throated sparrow). RNAcentral's name for it is "lncRNA (ENSZALG00000001000.1)". Lineage: Eukaryota; Metazoa; Chordata; Aves; Passeriformes; Passerellidae. The record is from RNAcentral.